GGCUCCCUGAGGUGUUUGCCCAUUGGUUACGUCCCUUGAGCCGAUAACUAGCAGUUUGGAUUUUUCUUGUGAGUGUUGUGUGCAUGUCCGUCUUCGGAAAGCCUGAUACACUUCGGAGAUCUCCUCCUUGAACCUUCGGGUUCAGGGCCACAACCAGUAGCGGCAUCUUGGGGAGUCU
Molecule: non-coding RNA, 178 nt
Filed under: Neptunomonas antarctica
Lineage: Bacteria; Pseudomonadati; Pseudomonadota; Gammaproteobacteria; Oceanospirillales; Oceanospirillaceae
Description: 6S / SsrS RNA
Rfam family: 6S / SsrS RNA
About the family: E. coli 6S RNA was the first non coding RNA to be sequenced, but its function was unknown until recently. It consists of 184 nucleotides that fold into an extended hairpin structure with a large single-stranded internal bulge.
Source: RNAcentral